AUGAUUAGACCUAUCUUUUUGCGUAUGCGAUUAACUGAUAUACUCAAAACCAAUCCUUAUGCUAAGUACAUGAAAGAUAGUAUUACAAAUAAAAGAAAGAUUCCGGAAGCUGAAAUUUCCACCAUGCUUGCUAAUUAUACUUUUAAGGGUGGAAUACCAAAGAAACUUGGAGAUCCAGGAGUACCUACUAUACCAUGCUCCAUUAAAACAAAUUAUGUUAAAACUGCUUUAUUGGAUCUUGGAGCCGGUGUUAGUGUUAUGCCUCUCUCUUUAUAUCGUAGACUUGAAUUGAAUAAGUUAACACCUACUGAAAUAUCUUUGCAAAUGGCUGAUAAAUCAACUGCUAUACCUGUCGGUAUUUGUGAGGAUUUGCCUGUUGUGGUUGCAAACGUUACUAUUUUAACGGACUUUGUUAUUCUUGAUAUUUCCGAGGACGAUAGUAUGUCUAUUAUUCUUGGAAGACCCUUUCUUAAUACUGCAGGGGCUGUUUUUGAUUGCAACAAAGCAAUGUCACUUUUCAUGUUAAUGGUAAUGAGCAUACGGUACACUUUCCGAGGAAACAACCUCAAGUUCAUAGCAUCAAUUCUAUCGGAAAAAUUCCAUCGGCUAUAUUUGGAGGUUUUGAAUUUGCUCUUCCUACUGUCAAGAAGAAAUAUGAUAUACUUAUUAUUGGGGAUGUGCAUAUCCCCGUUGAGGUAA
Molecule: ribosomal RNA, 699 nt
Filed under: Triticum aestivum (bread wheat)
Lineage: Eukaryota; Viridiplantae; Streptophyta; Magnoliopsida; Poales; Poaceae
Description: partial small subunit ribosomal RNA
Source: RNAcentral